RNAcentral lists this ribosomal RNA (248 nucleotides) under uncultured bacterium. RNAcentral describes it as "partial 16S ribosomal RNA". It matches the Rfam family "Bacterial small subunit ribosomal RNA", at positions 524 to 772 of the family's 1533-position model. The record is from RNAcentral.
UACGUAGGGGGCAAGCGUUAUCCGGAAUUAUUGGGCGUAAAGAGUGCGUAGGUGGUUACUUAAGCGCGGGGUUUAAGGCAAUGGCUCAACCAUUGUUCGCCCUGCGAACUGGGUUACUUGAGUGCAGGAGAGGAAAGCGGAAUUCCUAGUGUAGCGGUGAAAUGCGUAGAUAUUAGGAGGAACACCAGUGGCGAAGGCGGCUUUCUGGACUGUUACUGACACUGAGGCACGAAAGUGUGGGGAGCAAA